RNAcentral lists this ribosomal RNA (1725 nucleotides) under Triticum aestivum (bread wheat). RNAcentral describes it as "partial small subunit ribosomal RNA". Lineage: Eukaryota; Viridiplantae; Streptophyta; Magnoliopsida; Poales; Poaceae. The record is from RNAcentral.
AUGGCCGUCAACCCCAUCCCUCCGCUCAACAAUAGUUUCUUGGCCAUUGCGGAGGCGAGCAGAUUCGUGCCAUUACAUCCCCGGGAGGGGCUCCGCGACACCAUUGAGGGUCUUCUGCAUGAAGCGGGUCUGCACACCAUAGAAGCUUCUGACCAUCCCCUGGGUAUCGGUAUGUCUGCAUUUGCCAACUCCUUCAUCAGAGAUACUGCUGUAAAUAGUACCUUCCAGCUUGAUGAUGAGUAUCUGGUAGUUUCCUUUGUGCGCCACAAUGCGGCUUUGAACAUGCGUAACACCACCUAUGGGCCAGAGGUUUGGUUAAUGUACAUCGGAUUUCCUGAUGACUACCAGACGGACUUUUAUCUGCAACGUUCUGUCGAUGACUAUGGCCAUCUUGUCUCUUGGAACAACCCCAAUAUCGACCGUCGUGUUGUGCUGAUCAAAGUCAGGGUUAUUCACAUGCGUGUGAUCCCUAAGAGCAUCAUCGUCCCUCAGUUGGGAGGGGACCGUGCAUGCUGGACUCCUGCAGUUUUCAUUCUUCGGGGAGCAGACUGGAACGCCCAUGAUCCUGAAGUACCUACUGCAGAUGAAGAACCACCGCCCGCUAGUGGUGUGCCUCACCCCAUGUUUGGGGACGGCCUUACUGCUGAGCAGCUCUACCAGCAGCAACUACAGAACUGGCUGAUUCAGAAUGGUGUUGCUAAUGAAAAUGGACCUCACAAUGCUGCCCAUCAAGAUGCUCCUCAACACGCUCAGUGGGAUGCUUGGCCUGAACCUCCUGUGCCUCAAAUGCCUGCAGCCCUAGUCAACUUUCAGGCUUGGUUAGCGGCUCAGGGUCUGCAUGUUCAAGAUGACAUUCUACCUAAAGACAACAUUUCAGACAGUCUUAACUCUGCUUGCUCUUGUAGCUCUACUGGCAGCAAUACUGGGUCAGUCCAAUCUGCUGAUGGCCCUGACAAUACUCUGCUGGUGAUUCCUACUAGGCAUGACGUAAUUGCUAUUGACAUUGUUGUUUCUGCUGAUAAUCUUCGUGUUAGCAUCUCUGUGGAAGGUAGUGAUCUGACCAAUGUGCUCAUGAAUGACAUAAUUCCCCGCAACACAUUUACGGCAUAUCUCUCUAGUUCUAUUUUGUCUGUCGUCGCAGCCUAUGGCCCCUGGAGCUCUGGGUAUGGAUUGCCCCUGCUUGCUCUGCAAACUACUGUCCCUGUCACUGAAUUCCAAGUGGGAACUGCUGAUGCUCUGAUUUCAAUUUGUCUCUCUCCACGUAUUCUGAACAUGCCCCCAUGGCCAUCUUCAGUGCAGAUCUCAGAGCUUUUGUCUGAUGAAGAAGCCCCUACUGAAGAAGUUGUUUUGCACCCACCUCUUACUGUGUCUCUGUCUGCUGUGGAGGAACAUAUUGAGCACCCUCCUGAAGAUCUUCCUCACUCUAUUAUGCCUACCUUGACUGACCAACUGGUUACUAAUGCCGAGGUUGCUGCUGGAACUGCUGACGCUCUUGUGCAGCAGGAGGAGGAGGAUGCUUUGGCGCCAACUGAAAGUUCAACUUCUAGGCCUCUUGCUCUGUCUCAACCUUUUGAGGCAUCUUAUUUGGGCUUGGCCCAAGUGCUACCAGAUCCUGGCCCAUUUCCUGCUCGCGCCCGUCGCUCCAAGUUUCAGGUUCCAUUGGUCACUACUGAAGUUAGGCGCAGUACUCGCUCCACUAGAUAUGAUGGCUUCAGAGUGCCAUAG